GACCUUUUAGUAUAGUUUAGUACUUUUAAUUUCCAAUUUUGAAGCUUCGGGUUA
RNAcentral lists this transfer RNA (54 nucleotides) under Rhigonema thysanophora. Its description in RNAcentral is "tRNA-Gly". The record is from RNAcentral. Lineage: Eukaryota; Metazoa; Nematoda; Chromadorea; Rhabditida; Rhigonematidae.